Molecule: transfer RNA, 72 nt
Filed under: Loxodonta africana (African savanna elephant)
Lineage: Eukaryota; Metazoa; Chordata; Mammalia; Proboscidea; Elephantidae
Rfam family: tRNA
About the family: Transfer RNA (tRNA) molecules are approximately 80 nucleotides in length.
Source: Rfam by way of RNAcentral
GCCCUGGUGGUGCAAUGGUUUAGCAUUAGGCUGCUAAUCCAAAGGUUGGUGGUUCAAACCCACCCAGCGGUU